UACGUAGGGUGCAAGCGUUAAUCGGAAUUACUGGGCGUAAAGCGUGCGCAGGCGGUGAUGUAAGACAGAUGUGAAAUCCCGGGCUCAACCUGGGAACUGCAUUUGUGACUGCAUCGCUAGAGUACGGCAGAGGGGAUGGAAUUCCGCGUGUAGCAGUGAAAUGCGUAGAUAUGCGGAGGAACACCGAUGGCGAAGGCAAUCCCCUGGGCCUGUACUGACGCUCAUGCACGAAAGCGUGGGGAGCAAACAGG
Molecule: ribosomal RNA, 251 nt
Filed under: uncultured bacterium
Lineage: Bacteria
Description: partial 16S ribosomal RNA
Rfam family: Bacterial small subunit ribosomal RNA
Source: RNAcentral